AAGUCGUAACAAGGUCUCCGUUGGUGAACCAGCGGAGGGAUCAUUAUCGAGUUUACAACUCCCAAACCCCAUGUGAACCAUACCAUCACGUUGCUUCGGCGGUCACGCCCCGGUGCCCCCGUGCCCGGAACCAGGCGCCCGCCGGAGGACCUCCAAACUAUUGUUGUAUCUAGUGGCAUUAUCUGAGUGGCGUAAGGCAAAUCAAUCAAAACUUUCAACAACGGAUCUCUUGGUUCUG
RNAcentral lists this unclassified non-coding RNA (238 nucleotides) under fungal sp. Its description in RNAcentral is "partial internal transcribed spacer region". The stretch from base 1 to 46 matches the Rfam family "Eukaryotic small subunit ribosomal RNA", at positions 1786 to 1831 of the family's 1831-position model. Lineage: Eukaryota; Fungi. The record is from RNAcentral.